This 1616-nucleotide ribosomal RNA is filed under the name Aeromonas veronii. RNAcentral describes it as "partial 23S ribosomal RNA". It matches the Rfam family "Bacterial large subunit ribosomal RNA", at positions 1243 to 2839 of the family's 2925-position model. The record is from RNAcentral. Lineage: Bacteria; Pseudomonadati; Pseudomonadota; Gammaproteobacteria; Aeromonadales; Aeromonadaceae.
GUAAGUCUGCGAAGGUGUAUCGAGAGGUAUGCUGGAGAUAUCAGAAGUGCGAAUGCUGACGUAAGUAACGAUAAAGGGGGUGAAAAGCCUCCUCGCCGGAAGACCAAGGGUUCCUGUCCAACGUUAAUCGGGGCAGGGUGAGUCGACCCCUAAGGCGAGGCCGAAAGGCGUAGUCGAUGGGAAGCAGGUUAAUAUUCCUGCACGACUUGUAAUUGCGAUGGGGGGACGGAGAAGGCUAGGUGGGCCAGGCGACGGUUGUCCUGGUGAAAGUGCGUAGGUGGUGUUUCCAGGCAAAUCCGGAGACACAACACUGAGACACGAGACGAACACACUACGGUGUGGAAGCCAUUGAUGCCCUGCUUCCAGGAAAAGCCUCUAAGCUUCAGAUUACAAGUCAUCGUACCCCAAACCGACACAGGUGGUCGGGUAGAGAAUACCAAGGCGCUUGAGAGAACUCGGGUGAAGGAACUAGGCAAAAUAGAACCGUAACUUCGGGAGAAGGUUCGCUCUUGACAGUGAAGUCCCUUGCGGAUGGAGCAGUUGGGAGUCGCAGUGACCAGAUGGCUGGGACUGUUUAUCAAAAACACAGCACUCUGCAAACACGAAAGUGGACGUAUAGGGUGUGACACCUGCCCGGUGCCGGAAGGUUAAUUGAUGGGGUUAGCGCAAGCGAAGCUCUUGAUCGAAGCCCCGGUAAACGGCGGCCGUAACUAUAACGGUCCUAAGGUAGCGAAAUUCCUUGUCGGGUAAGUUCCGACCUGCACGAAUGGUGUAACCAUGGCCAUGCUGUCUCCACCCGAGACUCAGUGAAAUCGAAUUCGCCGUGAAGAUGCGGUGUACCCGCGGCUAGACGGAAAGACCCCGUGAACCUUUACUACAGCUUGGCACUGAACAUUGAACCUACAUGUGUAGGAUAGGUGGGAGGCUUUGAAGGCGUGACGCCAGUUGCGCUGGAGCCGUCCUUGAAAUACCACCCUUGUAUGUUUGAUGUUCUAACGCAGGGCCCUGAAUCGGGCUCGCGGACAGUGCCUGGUGGGUAGUUUGACUGGGGCGGUCUCCUCCCAAAGAGUAACGGAGGAGCACGAAGGUUGGCUAAUCCUGGUCGGACAUCAGGAGGUUAGUGCAAUGGCAUAAGCCAGCUUAACUGCGAGACGGACAGGUCGAGCAGGUACGAAAGUAGGUCAUAGUGAUCCGGUGGUUCUGAAUGGAAGGGCCAUCGCUCAACGGAUAAAAGGUACUCCGGGGAUAACAGGCUGAUACCGCCCAAGAGUUCAUAUCGACGGCGGUGUUUGGCACCUCGAUGUCGGCUCAUCACAUCCUGGGGCUGAAGUCGGUCCCAAGGGUAUGGCUGUUCGCCAUUUAAAGUGGUACGCGAGCUGGGUUCAGAACGUCGUGAGACAGUUCGGUCCCUAUCUGCCGUGGGCGUUGGAUGAUUGAAGGGAGUUGCUCCUAGUACGAGAGGACCGGAGUGAACGAACCUCUGGUGUUCGGGUUGUCACGCCAGUGGCACUGCCCGGUAGCUAAGUUCGGAAUCGAUAACCGCUGAAAGCAUCUAAGCGGGAAGCGAGCCCUGAGAUGAGUCAUCCCUGACCCCUUGAGGGUCCUAAAGGGCCGUU